This 468-nucleotide ribosomal RNA is filed under the name uncultured bacterium. RNAcentral describes it as "partial 16S ribosomal RNA". It matches the Rfam family "Bacterial small subunit ribosomal RNA", at positions 28 to 507 of the family's 1533-position model. The record is from RNAcentral.
GACGAACGCUGGCGGCGUGCUUAACACAUGCAAGUCGAACGGAAAGGCCCUGCUUUUGUGGGGUGCUCGAGUGGCGAAGGGGUGAGUAACACGUGAGUAACCUGUCCCUGACUUUGGGAUAACUUCAGGAAACUGGGGAUAAUACCGGAUAGGAGCUACUGCUGCUUGGUGGGGGUUGGAAAGUUUCGGUGGUUGGGGCUGGACUCGCGGCUUAUCAGCUUGUUGGGGGGGUAGUGGCUUUCCAAGGUUAGGACGGGUAGCCGGCCUGGGAGGGGUACCGGCCACAUUGGGACUGAGGGACGGCCCAGACUCGAACGGGAGGCAGCGGUGGGGAGUAUGGCGCAGUGGGGGGGAGCGUGGUGCGGCGGCGCCGGGUGCGGGAUGACGGGCUUGGGGUUGUGAACCGCUGUGGCCUGAGACGGGGCGGGAGUGACGGUAAUGGGUAAAGAAGCACCGGCUAACUACGUG